Molecule: long non-coding RNA, 1082 nt
Filed under: Manihot esculenta (cassava)
Lineage: Eukaryota; Viridiplantae; Streptophyta; Magnoliopsida; Malpighiales; Euphorbiaceae
Description: long non-coding RNA (MESC_LNC006565)
Source: RNAcentral
GGGCCUCUCUUCUCUUCUCCCUCUAUCAAACCGAUCCUCUCCUUGUCAUCGCUGCUAUCUUACCCGUCGUCUCCACUGCCUCGUCGUCAUCACCGCUCGAGAAGAAGCCCGCGCUGCCGCUGCCAUUGUUGUGGCCGCAAGGAAGCCGGCCUCGUCAUCGCUGGGAAAGAGCGGCCUCGUCGUCAUCGCGAAGGAGCUGGCCUCGUCGUCGUCGCGAAGGAGCCGGCCUCAUCGUCGCCCCAAAUUGAAACUCAGUUGAAGAGAGCUGCUUGGAGAGGUAAACUGAAUGUGCACGAACCUUCAUUUGCAUGUUGAAAAGAGCUAAAUCUCUCUUCAUACGCUACGAUGUCAAACACAAGUUGUUUUGAAUAGAGCAGAUGCUUGGAGUACCUGUAAUUGAAGCCAAAAAAAAAAAUUUACAUGUGAGUUCCACUUAUAUCCAUCGUUCUAACAAUUCAAUUAUGUAUGGAAACUUACCAACUAAAGUUGAUUUGGUCAAGUAUUUAUCUGAAUGGGUAAUUUUCGGCUUCUUUGGUAGUACGAGAUUUUUAUCUCAGAUAAAGAGAAUCACUUCAUGGGAGUUCAAUUCGCAUUCAGAAACUGUAGUUGCUAUAACGAUUAGUAAUCCAGAUAUUGAACCAGCAGCCGCAAAAAGUGGAAGUAAUAUAGGACUCAUGUGCUUUGAUUUUUAGUUUGGGUUUCUUGUUAUUUCAUCACUAGAGAAAGAAAAGGAAAGAAUAAUAAAAAAAAAAGAUCUUGUCUUUGAGACUGGAUGAUAAUUUCAAAAAUGGGAUUGGAUCCAAAAAAUUUGUUCUUACAAUGAACUGAUUGUAGCCACCAAUAAUUUUUCAGAUAAUGAGAAGCUUAGUGAAGGAGGUUUUGAUGUUGUCUACAGAGGUUUCUUGAAGGAUCUCAUUGCUAUGUUGUUGUUAACGGAGUGUUAAGGGAGCCUAAACAAGGGAUCAAAGAGUAUAAGCAGCCAACCAUUAGUUUAAAGAGAACAUAAAGGGGAAAGUUGGAACCCUUGAAGGAGACGGUAGAUUAGAACAUUUUCCCCAAUAAAAAAAAAAAAAAAAUUAUAG